UUGCUUCGGCAGUACAUACACUUAAAAUGGAACAACACAGAGAAGAUUGCCAUGGCUCCUGCACAAGGAUAACACAGAAAUUCAUGAAGAAUUUCAUUAUUUC
This 103-nucleotide small nuclear RNA is filed under the name Numida meleagris (helmeted guineafowl). Lineage: Eukaryota; Metazoa; Chordata; Aves; Galliformes; Numididae. The record is from RNAcentral.